This 849-nucleotide small RNA is filed under the name Pan troglodytes (chimpanzee). RNAcentral's name for it is "retained intron". Lineage: Eukaryota; Metazoa; Chordata; Mammalia; Primates; Hominidae. The record is from RNAcentral.
CUACCCUUGGGGUAUUCGGAGCCUACCUUUGGGCCUUGCUUCUCCAUGCCCAGAGGCAAGCCCCCCGCCCCAUCCCCUAGGGGACAGAAAGCCAGCCCCCCUACCUUAGCCCCUGCCACUGCCAGUCCCCCCACCACUGCAGGGAGCAACAACCCCUGCCUCACACAGCUGCUCACAGCAGCCAAGCCGGAGCAAGCCCUGGAGCCACCACUUGUAUCCAGCACCCUCCUCCAGUCCCCAGGGUCCCCGGUAAGAUCUCGGGCACUGGGUGGUGGGGCUGUGCCCACGGCCUUCACCCUGACUCUCCGCCCUUCUCCACCCCAGCAGGAGACAGUCCCUGAAUUCCCCUGCACAUUCCUUCCCCCGACCCCGGCCCCUACACCGCCCCGGCCACCUCCAGGCCCGGCCACAUUGGCCCCUUCCAGGCCCCUGCUUGUCCCCAAAGCGGAGCGGCUCUCACCCCCAGCGCCCAGCGGUAAAGAGAGGGGUUGCAGGGAUUGGGGGAAUCUAGGGGAUGAGGGGAAGAGGAGGAAGAAGAAGGGGACUGGGUCUGGGGCCAGAUGAGAGGAAGGGGGCAAUGGGGACCCCUUCCCCUGGGUCGGUCUUUCUGUGGGUCUAUCUGUCCCUACCACAGGCAGUGAACGGCGGCUGUCAGGGGACCUCAGCUCCAUGCCAGGCCCUGGGACUCUGAGCGUCCGUGUCUCUCCCCCGCAACCCAUCCUCAGCCGGGGCCGUCCAGACAGCAACAAGACCGAGAACCGGCGUAUCACACACAUCUCCGCGGAGCAGAAGCGGCGCUUCAACAUCAAGCUGGGGUUUGACACCCUUCAUGGGCUCGUGAGCACACUC